Molecule: ribosomal RNA, 696 nt
Filed under: uncultured bacterium
Lineage: Bacteria
Description: bacterial SSU rRNA
Rfam family: Bacterial small subunit ribosomal RNA
Source: RNAcentral
AACGCUAGCUACAGGCUUAACACAUGCAAGUCGAGGGGAAACGACAUCGAAAGCUUGCUUUUGAUGGGCGUCGACCGGCGCACGGGUGAGUAACGCGUAUCCAACCUGCCCACCACUUGGGGACAACCUUGCGAAAGUAAGACUAAUACCCAAUGAUAUCUCUAGAAGACAUCUGAAAGAGAUUAAAGAUUUAUCGGUGAUGGAUGGGGAUGCGUCUGAUUAGCUUGUUGGCGGGGUAACGGCCCACCAAGGCGACGAUCAGUAGGGGUUCUGAGAGGAAGGUCCCCCACAUUGGAACUGAGACACGGUCCAAACUCCUACGGGAGGCAGCAGUGAGGAAUAUUGGUCAAUGGGCGAGAGCCUGAACCAGCCAAGUAGCGUGCAGGAUGACGGCCCUAUGGGUUGUAAACUGCUUUUAUAAGGGAAUAAAGUGGGUCUCGUGAGACUUUUUGCAUGUACCUUAUGAAUAAGGACCGGCUAAUUCCGUGCCAGCAGCCGCGGUAAUACGGAAGGUCCGGGCGUUAUCCGGAUUUAUUGGGUUUAAAGGGAGCGUAGGCCGGAGAUUAAGCGUGUUGUGAAAUGUAGACGCUCAACGUCUGCACUGCAGCGCGAACUGGUUUCCUUGAGUACGCACAAAGUGGGCGGAAUUCGCGGUGUAGCGGUGAAAUGCUUAGAUAUCACGAAGAACUCCGAUUG